CGAGGCGGUCGGAUGGUCGCGCGUCGCCGGCGGGGCGACCCGAUCGGCGACGUGAGGAAAGUCCGAGCUCCGCAGCGCAGGGUGGCGGGUAACGCCCGUCCGUCGCAAGACGAGGACCAGUGCCACAGUGACGAUGCCGACGUCCGGCCUCCGGGCGGGUCGUCGGAGUGAAACGCGGCAAACUCCACCCGGAGCAAGGCCAAAUAGGAGGGCGCAACCCGUAUCGGGUGACCGGUACGGGGGAGAGGUGCGCUGCCCAGCCCUCGGGUCGGCCGCAUGAGCCGUCGGGCGACCGACGGCCACAGAUGGAUGGCCAUCCCCGCCGCACAUCUCGGUGUGUGACGGGACAGAACUCGGCUUACAGACCGCCUCGCUGA
RNAcentral lists this RNase P RNA (377 nucleotides) under Chloroflexota bacterium. RNAcentral's name for it is "RNase P RNA component class A". It matches the Rfam family "Bacterial RNase P class A". From Rfam's summary of the family: Ribonuclease P (RNase P) is a ubiquitous endoribonuclease, found in archaea, bacteria and eukarya as well as chloroplasts and mitochondria. The record is from RNAcentral. Lineage: Bacteria; Bacillati; Chloroflexota.